UACGAAGGGGGCUAGCGUUGUUCGGAAUUACUGGGCGUAAAGGGCGCGUAGGCGGCGUGUCAAGUCAGGCGUGAAAGCCCCGGGCUCAACCUGGGAACCGCGCUUGAGACUGGCAUGCUCGAGUUCGGGAGAGGAUGGUGGAAUUCCCAGUGUAGAGGUGAAAUUCGUAGAUAUCGGGAGGAACACCGGUGGCGAAGGCGGCGACCUGGGUAGAUACUGACGCUGAGGCGCGAAAGCGUGGGGAGCAAACAGG
Molecule: ribosomal RNA, 253 nt
Filed under: uncultured bacterium
Lineage: Bacteria
Description: partial 16S ribosomal RNA
Rfam family: Bacterial small subunit ribosomal RNA
Source: RNAcentral